AUUGAACGCUGGCGGCAGGCCUAACACAUGCAAGUCGAGCGGAAGAAGGGAGCUUGCUCCUGGAUUCAGCAGCGGACGGGUGAGUAAUGCCUAGGAAUCUGCCUGGUAGUGGGGGAUAACGUCCGGAAACGGGCGCUAAUACCGCAUACGUCCUGAGGGAGAAAGUGGGGGAUCUUCGGACCUCACGCUAUCAGAUGAGCCUAGGUCGGAUUAGCUAGUUGGUGGGGUAAAGGCCUACUAAGGCGACGAUCCGUAACUGGUCUGAGAGGAUGAUCAGUCACACUGGAACUGAGACACGGUCCAGACUCCUACGGGAGGCAGCAGUGGGGAAUAGUGGACAAUGGGCGAAAGCCUGAUCCAGCCAUGCCGCGUGUGUGAAGAAGGUCUUCGGAUUGUAAAGCACUUUAAGUUGGGAGGAAGGGCAGUAAGUUAAUACCUUGCUGUUUUGACGUUACCAACAGAAUAAGCACCGGCUAACUUCGUG
RNAcentral lists this ribosomal RNA (484 nucleotides) under uncultured bacterium. RNAcentral describes it as "partial 16S ribosomal RNA". It matches the Rfam family "Bacterial small subunit ribosomal RNA", at positions 30 to 507 of the family's 1533-position model. The record is from RNAcentral.